This 629-nucleotide unclassified non-coding RNA is filed under the name Hevea brasiliensis (rubber tree). Lineage: Eukaryota; Viridiplantae; Streptophyta; Magnoliopsida; Malpighiales; Euphorbiaceae. The record is from RNAcentral.
GAGAAGGGAGGCCGCAGAAUAGGGUUCGACCUUGAUUACGACGAAAAGGACAGCAGUUAUAACCGUAUCAAGAGUUUGGUGACAGAGGAACUGAAACAAUACUUCAGGCCCGAGUUUUUGAACAGGUUGGAUGAGAUGAUUGUGUUCCGUCAACUCACGAAACUGGAGGUGAAGGAGAUUGCGGAUAUAAUGUUGAAGGAGGUAUUUGAUAGACUAAAAGGAAAAGAAAUUGAUCUUCAAGUUACAGAGAGAUUCAGAGAUAGGGUAGUUGAGGAAGGAUACAACCCAAGCUAUGGUGCAAGACCGUUGAGAAGGGCAAUCAUGAGACUUCUGGAGGACAGCAUGGCUGAGAAGAUGCUGGCAAGGGAGAUCAAGGAGGGUGACUCUGUAAUUGUGGAUGUUGAUUCUGAUGGAAACGUGACAGUGCUCAACGGCGGAGCCACUCCUGAGUCUUUGGCUGAUGCUAUUCCUGUGUAACCUGUAAAGGUAUGCGCCCAUUUUAUUUGAUAGAGAGAAUAAUAACGAUCUUAUUGUUUACAAGUUACAAAAUGAAAUGUAUUUCCAUCCUUAUUUAAUGGGUUGUACUUGUAUAGUCUAUUUUUAACUAGAUGGAUGGGGCAGCUGGUUUA